CUUGAAUCAAUAUCCUGGAAUAUUAAAAUAAGAACUAAGAACUCAUAAUUAAGAACAAGUCAAAUAUUUAUCAUAUAAUUCAGAAAAUAAUAACAAGAUUCGUCUUAGGUUUCAUUCCCCUUAGGUAUUUAAGAGAUUUAGUUCAUAAGUGUAAAAGAAAACACCUCAAAAGAAUAAUGAUAACAAAACAUAAAGAAAACCCAAAAAC
RNAcentral lists this long non-coding RNA (208 nucleotides) under Gossypium barbadense (sea-island cotton). RNAcentral's name for it is "long non-coding RNA (GBAR_LNC005676)". The record is from RNAcentral. Lineage: Eukaryota; Viridiplantae; Streptophyta; Magnoliopsida; Malvales; Malvaceae.